RNAcentral lists this ribosomal RNA (245 nucleotides) under uncultured bacterium. Its description in RNAcentral is "partial 16S ribosomal RNA". It matches the Rfam family "Bacterial small subunit ribosomal RNA", at positions 117 to 353 of the family's 1533-position model. The record is from RNAcentral.
AUAAGUAACCUGCCCUAGACAGGGGGAUAACUAUUGGAAACGAUAGCUAAGACCGCAUAGGUACGGACACUGCAUGGUGACCGUAUUAAAAGUGCCUCAAAGCACUGGUAGAGGAUGGACUUAUGGCGCAUUAGCUGGUUGGCGGGGUAACGGCCCACCAAGGCGACGAUGCGUAGCCGACCUGAGAGGGUGACCGGCCACACUGGGACUGAGACACGGCCCAGACUCCUACGGGAGGCAGCAUG